UGGAGAGUUUGAUCCUGGCUCAGGACGAACGCUGGCGGCGUGCCUAAUACAUGCAAGUAGAACGCACAGGAUGCACCGUAGUUUACUACACCGUAUUCUGUGAGUUGCGAACGGGUGAGUAACGCGUAGGUAACCUGCCUGGUAGCGGGGGAUAACUAUUGGAAACGAUAGCUAAUACCGCAUAAGAACAUUUACUGCAUGGUAGAUGUUUAAAAGGUGCAAGAGCAUCACUACCAGAUGGACCUGCGUUGUAUUAGCUAGUUGGUGAGGUAACGGCUCACCAAGGCAACGAUACAUAGCCGACCUGAGAGGGUGAUCGGCCACACUGGGACUGAGACACGGCCCAGACUCCUACGGGAGGCAGCAGUAGGGAAUCUUCGGCAAUGGGGGGAACCCUGACCGAGCAACGCCGCGUGAGUGAAGAAGGUUUUCGGAUCGUAAAGCUCUGUUGUUAAGGAAGAACGUGUGUGAGAGUGGAAAGUUCACACAGUGACGGUACUUAACCAGAAAGGGACGGCUAACUACGUGCCAGCAGCCGCGGUA
This 543-nucleotide ribosomal RNA is filed under the name Streptococcus constellatus. RNAcentral's name for it is "bacterial SSU rRNA". It matches the Rfam family "Bacterial small subunit ribosomal RNA", at positions 1 to 522 of the family's 1533-position model. Lineage: Bacteria; Bacillati; Bacillota; Bacilli; Lactobacillales; Streptococcaceae. The record is from RNAcentral.